AGUGAACGCUGGCGGUAGGCCUAACACAUGCCAGUCGAACGGCAGCACAGUAAGAGCUUGCUCUUACGGGUGGCGAGUGGCGGACGGGUGAGGAAUACAUCGGAAUCUACUUUUUCGUGGGGGAUAACGUAGGGAAACUUACGCUAAUACCUCAUACGACCUACGGGUGAAAUCAGGGGAUCUUCGCACCUUGCGCGAUUGAAUGAGCCGAUUUCGGAUUAGCUAGUUGGCGGGGUAAAGGCCCACCAAGGCGACGAUCCGUAGCUGGUCUGAGAGGAUGAUCAGCCACACUGGAACUGAGACACGGUCCAGACUCCUACGGGAGGCAGCAGUGGGGAAUAUUGGACAAUGGGCGAAAGCCUGAUCCAGCCAUACCGCGUGGGUGAAGAAGGCCUUCGGGUUGUAAAGCCCUUUUGUUAGGAAAGAAAAGCAGUAGGUGAAUACCCGGCUGUUCUGACGGUACCCAAAGAAUAAGCACCGGCUAACUUCGUG
Molecule: ribosomal RNA, 492 nt
Filed under: uncultured bacterium
Lineage: Bacteria
Description: partial 16S ribosomal RNA
Rfam family: Bacterial small subunit ribosomal RNA
Source: RNAcentral